AGAGUUUGAUCCUGGCUCAGAUUGAACGCUGGCGGCAUGCUUUACACAUGCAAGUCGAACGGCAGCACGGGCUUCGGCCUGGUGGCGAGUGGCGAACGGGUGAGUAAUGCGUCGGAACGCGCCGAGUAGUGGGGGAUAACGCAGCGAAAGCUGUGCUAAUACCGCAUACGUACUGAGGUAGAAAGUGGGGGACCUUCGGGCCUCACGCUAUUCGAGCGGCCGACGUCUGAUUAGCUAGUUGGUGGGGUAAAGGCUCACCAAGGCGACGAUCAGUAGCGGGUCUGAGAGGAUGAUCCGCCACACUGGGACUGAGACACGGCCCAGACUCCUACGGGAGGCAGCAGUGGGGAAUUUUGGACAAUGGGCGCAAGCCUGAUCCAGCCAUGCCGCGUGUCUGAAGAAGGCCUUCGGGUUGUAAAGGACUUUUGUCCGGGAGCAAAGCCUACUUGUUA
Molecule: ribosomal RNA, 452 nt
Filed under: uncultured bacterium
Lineage: Bacteria
Description: bacterial SSU rRNA
Rfam family: Bacterial small subunit ribosomal RNA
Source: RNAcentral